Molecule: long non-coding RNA, 6993 nt
Organism: Lytechinus pictus (painted urchin)
Lineage: Eukaryota; Metazoa; Echinodermata; Echinoidea; Temnopleuroida; Toxopneustidae
Exons: 2
Source: RefSeq, a predicted model, not a curated record
UUCAAAAACUUUAUUUGUUAUUCGAUUUUGAUUAAAUUUUUAGCAUUUUGCUCUGUAAAUUUUCUUCUAUUUAUUGAGAUAUAAAUAUUUCCAGCCUGGACCAUCCCUUCAAUUUUACUAAUAUUCGAAGACAGGAAACUAAUACUAGAAAAAAAGAUAAAUGAAUGGAAUAUGUAUCACCAAACCCAGACAAACAUUGGAAUAUGUCUUGUUUGCCUCUUGCAUCGAGGCAAAAACUGAAUAUUUGUGUCCAUGUACAUGCAAUAUCUUUUGAUUACACACAUUUAUCCUGAAAGCUCUUUGCAUACAUUAUUUAUUCAAAAUUCAGGUUUAGUAAGAAAAUCAAUUACUUUUCAUUCCAGGUACAAAUUUUUAUUGAUAUAUGGCCAAAAUCAAAGAAGGGUGUUGGUAACCAACAAGUCAGAGGAGACCUCAAAACAGGAGCUGCUUAGGGUGGUGUGCACAACAUUUGGAGUGAAAGAAGAAGAUAUUUUUCCUGCAGACAUGGCAAGACAAAUUCUACGAUUUUGCAGACAUGGAAGAGGACGAACUUGUGACAGGCCCAUUGAGAGUAAAAAUUACAAACUACCUGUGGUCCUCGGUGCACAGCAACUGGUGAAGGGUGGAGAGCACAUAGAGUGGAUGAGCACUGAAAAAAAGGCAGCCAGACUUCAAGAGAGUUGAGUUCUGCAUGCAGAAGACACUGGCAGACAGAAGGGCAUGGAUCAUAAAUUCUGUCCCUCGGCCAAGGAUCACUGAUGACCGACUGAAGUAUCCUUGGCUCUUUGAUGAGGAUCAGGUAAUCUAUGCAGAGUUUUCUCACCAGAUUUUGAAAUAUACUGAAUAUCCCGAGAUUGAUUGAAUGCUGACGGACGUUGAUAGAGUUGCUUACUCAAUGUUUCCCUAUUACAGUGAUUUACAGAAUGUAUUGGAAACUUCUAACUCCACAUGGAUUAUCCAAACUUGCUCAUAAACUUAAUUUAUUCAAGACUGCGUAAGGUGUGAACUUCAUAUGUGGUCCUUGUAUGUAAAAUUCAGGUUAUUUUCUUGUCAAAGCAAUAUCACCUAAACAGCUUGAGGUAUGGAUGUAAAAACUUGGUGUUUAACAUGUACCAUCAUUAGGAAGACGAUUUGAAUGGAUUUUGGAAUAUGUAGGUCAAAGGUCAAUUUGUGAAAUUUAUUUGUUCAAACACAUGGGCCCGUAUUCUGAUAGCAGGUUUAAUUUAACCCUAGUCUAAAGUUAACCCUAGUUUAAUUAAACCUCCUCUAAACCUCACCUCUGGUCCAAGUGUAGUUUAAUUAUUUUGGUAUUCUGAUAGCCGGGUUUAACUAAACCUGGGUUAAACCCGGGUUUAAAAUUCUUUUUGAAAAUAAUAACCCUCUUUUAACCAAGACUAGCACCUUUUUGGUAAAUUACUGCUGCAGGGGUGAUUGCAACAAAGUUGAAAAAAUGGCACUAAAGUCGUUUUUUCUUAAAAUAAUUGAUAUUAUGGAAACUAAUAACAACUAUUGUAGUGAAAGAAAAGCAUUCAUCACCCAUAUAUGGUAAGAAAUUUUCAUUUCAAUUAUAUUUAUUUUUGUUAAUUACUAAAACAUUUCAACCCCAAACCGAGUGACCUGCACAGUUUUUGAGUAUCAGUCCCAUUUAUUUAUUUUCAUGUUUGUCAAAAUCUAAAUUGAAUAGAUUCCCCUCAACCACUCUAGACUAGAGUCUAGACCCUAGUCCUAGAUCUAAAACAAUAAGCUAAGAGGUCGACGUCUUUAUUCUAACUUUAAGUAAGGGAAUUUUUUAUAACUUUUGAGAGUAGUCUUGAGUCUAAAUAGGCCUAUAGUUAGAUCUGGCCUAGGCCCAAUUGUUUGGAGGAGAAUUGAACAUAGUUUUUACUAACUAAGUUAGGCCUAGGCCUAUUUGAUUUUUUUUUUAACUUUCCUGAAGCAAAACAUAGUCUAGUGAGUUAGUGGAGCAACCAAGACUGAAGAUAAAUAUUGGUCUAGGCCUAGAACAGCAUUCAUGACUUAGGCUGGCUUAGCUUAGGGACAGGGAUAGAUUAUAGUACUAUUCUAAAGUAACCUUAGGCAUAGGCUAGAUCUAGUGGAAUGGAUCUGAUUUGUCUUAGACAAAAAGCUUUGAACAGUCUCUGUAUUGGUUGUUCCGCUGAAUUAUGACACUCUACGUUGGCCUCUCUCACCAAGGCAAUGUUAUAUGACAGUAAAAUGUCAGAAUUUUUAAAAUAAAUCCCCAGAAACAACGGUUAUUCCUGUCUACAGACAGUACAGUGUUAGAUCUCAUUAUCGCUGCAUUGCUUGCCAAGUAACUGAGCCUGGCUAAAUUUAGAAUUAGUUCAAGACAUCUCUCUACUCCUGUUUUAGGUCCAUAUCUGUUUCUUUGAAGAGUUUUUUAUUCAAACAUUUUUGGGGACUCGUUUAGGUUUCCAGAUCCAGGACUAGAAAACAGGCCCAAACCUAGACCAACAGCUCAGUCUUGACUAACCCAGGGAGCUCCCUGGGUUAAGUCUUGACUAGACUAGGCCUGGCCUAGAUUUAUGUAAGAAUUUAGAUCUAGGCCUAGGCCUAACGUUAGUCUGUGCUAUAUAUUCAUUCUAGAUUUCUAGCCUAGCCCUAACUGGCUGAUCUAGUCUACUGUAUGAUCUAGAAUCUCUAACGCUGGCCUAGAUCUAGACUAAAUAACUUAGACUAAAAGUUAAACCCUAUCUAGACCUAGAACUAGAUCUAUAUCAAUGUAAUACAUGUAAUAGGUCUAGAUCUAGAGAUUUGUAGACUCUCGACAUGCUCAAUGUAGAUUCUAAAUAAAUAAAAAAGUAAAUGUUGGCUAGUCUCGAGGCUAGUCUACAGUAGAUCUAAUCAUCUAACGUUAGGCCUUAAAAUAAAGUAGGCUGGAGAUCUAACGUUGGAUUAUUUCUAUUACUAGAUCUAAAGGAUCUAGACCUAGAUCUAAAGCUAGGGACUGUAGUGGGACUGUAGUUCGAGAUCUAAAGUUAGAGGUCUAGCAACCCCCUUAAAACUAGUACUAAGCCUACAGCUACAUGUUGUUCUCUGUGUAGCCAAACAACAGUUAGCAUUGUCUUAAUCUUAUUUUGGUUUGUGUAGUUACCGUACAAACACAUAUUUUGAUGAAUGAGAAAAUGUGCCUUGCAGAUUAUUUUAUCAAAACCUCGUGUUCUAAAUUUCAUGAGCAUACAUGUAGGCCUAUGUCAUAAAAUGAAGAAGCAGUUCAAUCCAUUAGAUGUGUUUACACAUUUAUUGAUUUAAUAUGCUGUCACCAUGGCAACACAGUUUCCAACACACACAAAUAUAUGUCUUGCAGAUCUAUACCUCAAAACCAAUGUGUGAGCCAACUUUUAUAAGAAUUAGUUGAAAACUAAUGAAGGAGUUCAGAUUUUCACCUAAUUUCAUUAUGUAAUAUGUUGUUACCAUGGCAACAUGAUUUCUCAUACAUACAAAAAUAUGUCUUGCACAUCUUCAACUUAAGACUAAUGUGUGUGCCAAAUUUUAUGAGCAUUGGCUGAAAAAAGAUGGGAGUUCGAACUACCAAAUUCUCACCUUAUUUUCUUUAUUUGAUAUGUUGUUACCAUGGCAACACGAUUUCUGAUACAGACAAAAAUAUAUCUUGGACAUCUUCAUCUCAACAUUAAUGUAUGUGCCAAAUUUCAUGAGAAUUGGUUAAAAACUGAGGAAGUAGUUGGAACAGCAAGAUUUAUACAUAGUUUUUGCCAUAAUAUACCGUUACCAUGGCAACACAAUUUCCGACACAUGGAAAUAUGUGUCUUGCACAUCUUUACCUCAAAACCAAUGUGUGAGCCAACUUUCUUGAGAAUUGGUAGAAAACUGAUAAAAGUAUUUUAAACGGCAAAAUUUUUGCCAUAAUAUACUGUUUCCAUGGCAACACAAUUUCCAAAAAAGAAAAAAAAAAUUCUUACACCUCCUUACCUUGAGAACAAUGUGUGUUCCAAAUUCCAUGAAAAUCUGUUAAAAACUGAGGAAGUAGCUUGCAAUGCAAUAUAGGCAUACAUUCUAAAAAAAUUGUUGGCCAUGCUUUGUUGGAUUUAAACCAGGCUUAAACUACCCCCAGCGCGAGUUUAACUUUUUGAAGAUUUAUUACCACACUUAGACCAGGGUUAACUUAAACCUUGCUAUCGGAAUACGAAACUUAAACCUAGGUUUAAAUAUGGCAGUUUAUUACCACACUUAGACCAGGGUUAAGUUAAACCACGCUAUCAGAAUACGGGCCAUUGUCACCUUAACAAUUUGAAAUAUAAAUGUGAAACUUGGUGCUAACAUGUACCACUAUAGGAGAUGAUCUGGAUAUAUUUUGGAAUAUGUAGCUCGAAAGUAAAUUUGUGAAAUUCAGGUAAUAUCUUUGUUAAUGCAAUGUCACCUUAACAGUAUGAAAUAUGGAUGUAAAACCUGCUAGCAUGUAUCACUGGGAAGAGGAUGCAUUGAGUAGUGUAUGUUUCAUUGACUGUUUUUGAAAAUUUGACUCGAUGUCUCUAAUCUUCAAAUUAAAGGUCUAGUCCACCCCAGGAAAAUGCUGAUUUGAAUAAAUAGAGAAAAAUCAAACUAGCAUGAAAUUUUAAAGUUUCGCUUAUUUUCAACAAAACAGUGAUAUGCACAACUAGGUGAGCCAAUGAUGUCACUCACUAUUUCUUUUGUUUUUUAUUGUUUGAAUUAUACAAUAUUUCAAUUUUUACGAAUUUGAUGAUUAGGACCUCCUUGCCUGAAGCACAAAAUGUUAAAAUAAUUGAAUUCCACGUGUUCAGGGACGAAUGAAACUUCAUUUCACAUGACAAUGACGAGAAAAUCAAAAUAUUUCAUACUUCAUAUAAUAAAAUACAAAAGAAAUAGUGGGUGAGUGAUGUCAUCAGUUCCCUCAUUUGCAUACCGACUGAGGUGUGCAUAUAAGCGUUUUGUGAAAUGAAGCAAAAAUUUAAAAUGUCAUAACUUUCUUAUUUUACUUCCGAUUUUGAUGAAAUUUUCAGUGUUAUGCUUGUUGAAUUUUUCUCUUUUUAUUCAAAUCAAGGUUUUUUUUUUUUUUUUUUUUUUUUGGGGGGGUGGACUUGUCCUUUAAUCUUGCCAUAUCUGUGUUACCUCUGUGUGAAAAGUACAUUAAUUUAUUUAGUUUAUUCAGGGAUUUUUUUUUGUAUAUACAUAUAGUCUUUCUACCUUGUCUUCUCAGUCAAACCAAAUCUUAUAAGAUCAACAGCAAAAAAAAAAACAGUUUUCAGGAGUAUAUGACAUCAUUCUGCAUUCCAUACUUAAUUAAGCUUGACAUAUCUGUGCUAACUCUUAAUUUAUUUAGAAUAUUUAUGAUUGUUUAAUGCCUCCGCCAACGAAGUGGCCGGAGGCAUUACGUUUUCGGGUCGUCCGUACGUCCGUCCCGUUUUGUUUUGUCGAAAUCUCAAGAACCGUGGAGUGGUUUUACAUCAAACUUGGUAUGAGGGUAUAUCCUGGGGGGAUAAUACUUUGUUUUGAUUUUAUGGUCACGGGUGAAAGGUCACAGAGGUCGUUAUAUACCUUAAAAUGUCCUGUUCUUGUGAUAACUUAACCAUUGGAGCUAAUAACUUCAAACUUGGUACAUUCUUUAUAUACAUAAUAGAGGGAGAAUGAUCUGAUUGGAUUUUGGGGUCACAUGGUCAAAGGUCACAGAGGUCAGUAUGCCUUAAAAUAUCUUGUUCUUGUGUAACUAAAGGAAUGUUAGAGGAAGUAACUCCAAACUUGGUACAUAUAUGCUUGAUAUAGGGGGGGGGGGUAAUUUGGGGGGGUUGCAGGGCCAAGUUCAAAGGUCAUAAAGGUCAUAUACUUACAACUUUUUUAUCCAUUUAGUAAUUUUCUUGUGUUUUAUGAAUACUAAAAAUUAUUUUCAUAUAUCAAGUUUGAUUGUAGGUCAGUGUAUGCAUGAAAUUGUUCUUGUGAUAAACCAAAGACUUCGAUAGAUCAAUUUCAAAUAUGGACAAUGCAUACAUUAUGACAUUGACUUGAGAAGUUCAAAGGUCUAAGAGUUCAUGUCUCUUGUCACAAUUGCUUGUAGAUUCAAUAUUAAUGGUUCUUGGAUGCAUAUAUGAGAGUGAUCAAUAUGAUAAUAGAAAAUAUCAAUCAAGGUUUUCCGUUGGGUAGAUUUAAUUUUAUUGAAUAAUUUUUGCCUUAUCCAAAUAUAAGUGAACACCAAAUGUUCAGGCCAGCUAUGGUAGGAAUCGAACUCACGAUCUCCUGGUUACUAGACAGGCGUCAUACAACUAGACCACCAGGAAUUAAGCCCGAUGGCUAUUGGCUGCUAUUAUGUGAUAUAUCAACACAGUACUGUACCUGCUGCUAUUAUGUGAAUCAAACCGACUACCAGCCAUCGGGCUUCUCGGUGGUCAAGUGGUAUGACGCCUGUCUGAUAACCAGAUGGUCGUGGGUUCGAUUCCUACCCGAGCCGGCCUGUAAAAUUUUUUCUUAGCAGCUCAAACAUGCACUGAACAUUCAGUGUUUAUUUAUGUUGGGAUAAGGCAUAAAUUAUUUAAUAUAAAAAGAAUAGAACAAAUUUGAAGAUUUAUGGGAAAUUACCUGUGCAACAUAUUUCUGAUCUAGUGGCAAUGGCGGAGGCAUACAUUUCGACUGUGUGCAGUCGAGAAUCCAUCUAGUUAUUUUCUUUUGUUUUUUGUAUAAAGUCUUUCUAACAUGCCUUCUUGGCCAAAUCAGUUAUAUGAAAUCAGCAGUAAUAAAACAGUUUUCAGGAGUACAUGUAUACAUUCCUUACUUAGUUUAGCUUGCCAUAUCUGUGCUAACUGUUUGUGUGAAAAGCACAAAAUUUAUAAAGAAUGUAUUAACAUUUAUGUGGGUUCUUUUAUAGAUAUGUAUUCAAACCUGCCAUGUAUAAAGACUUGCCUCUUUUGUCAGCUAACUUGGGUAAUGUUUCCAGAGCUGUACAUGUAGUACUGUAUUAGAUGUGUUUGACUUUAUUUUUAUUAAAAGUUUUCAUUGCGUUGUUCUUAA